RNAcentral lists this non-coding RNA (45 nucleotides) under Schistosoma margrebowiei. Lineage: Eukaryota; Metazoa; Platyhelminthes; Trematoda; Strigeidida; Schistosomatidae. The record is from RNAcentral.
AUUCAGCUGACGAGUCCCAGAUAGGACGAAACGCGUGUCCAAGAU